This 18-nucleotide small nuclear RNA is filed under the name Arabidopsis thaliana (thale cress). Its description in RNAcentral is "snRNA_05950". The record is from RNAcentral. Lineage: Eukaryota; Viridiplantae; Streptophyta; Magnoliopsida; Brassicales; Brassicaceae.
UAGAAGCGACGCAUGCGC